UACGUAGGGUGCGAGCGUUGUCCGGAAUUAUUGGGCGUAAAGAGCUUGUAGGCGGUUUGUCGCGUCUGCUGUGAAAAUCCGGGGCUCAACCCCGGACUUGCAGUGGGUACGGGCAGACUAGAGUGUGGUAGGGGAGACUGGAAUUCCUGGUGUAGCGGUGAAAUGCGCAGAUAUCAGGAGGAACACCGAUGGCGAAGGCACUUUACUGGGCUAUUACUAACACUCAGAGACGAAAGCUAGGGUAGCAAAUGGG
RNAcentral lists this ribosomal RNA (253 nucleotides) under uncultured bacterium. Its description in RNAcentral is "partial 16S ribosomal RNA". It matches the Rfam family "Bacterial small subunit ribosomal RNA", at positions 524 to 776 of the family's 1533-position model. The record is from RNAcentral.